GACAGAGGGGGCAAGCGUUGCUCGGAAUCACUGGGCGUAAAGGGCGCGUAGGCGGGAUGGCAAGUCAGUCGUGAAAUCUCUCGGCUCAACCGAGAAACGUCGGCUGAUACUGCCGUUCUUGAGGGAUGCAGAGGAGACUGGAAUUCCCGGUGUAGCGGUGAAAUGUGUAGAGAUCGGGAGGAACACCGGUGGCGAAGGCGGGUCUCUGGGCAUUUCCUGACGCUGAGGCGCGAAAGCGUGGGGAGCGAUCGG
Molecule: ribosomal RNA, 252 nt
Filed under: uncultured bacterium
Lineage: Bacteria
Description: partial 16S ribosomal RNA
Rfam family: Bacterial small subunit ribosomal RNA
Source: RNAcentral